UUUUAAGGCUCAAGUUGACACUGU
Molecule: non-coding RNA, 24 nt
Filed under: Cricetulus griseus (Chinese hamster)
Lineage: Eukaryota; Metazoa; Chordata; Mammalia; Rodentia; Cricetidae
Source: RNAcentral